This 1729-nucleotide small RNA is filed under the name Pongo abelii (Sumatran orangutan). RNAcentral's name for it is "retained intron". The record is from RNAcentral. Lineage: Eukaryota; Metazoa; Chordata; Mammalia; Primates; Hominidae.
UCCUCGCCGCCGCUUCCUCUCGAGAAGGCGCGGGGCGGGCUGUCCGGCCCGCAGGGCGGUCGAGCCCGCGGCGCCAUGGCUCACGUCGGCUCCCGCAAGCGCUCGAGGAGUCGCAGCCGGUCCCGGGGACGGGGGUCGGAAAAGAGAAAGAAGAAGAGCAGGAAGGACGCCUCGAGGAACUGCUCGGCCUCCACAUCCCAAGGUCGCAAGGCCAGCACGGCCCCUGGGGUGGAGGGUGAGGACCACAGGCAUCGGGGAGAGGAGGCGCAGCUACUUCCUGGGGAAGUCGGGGCGAGCAGUGGUCGGGGACGCUCAGUCAUGCCUUUGUGCAGCCGGGCCUGAGGUGUGAGGGCCAGGCGCCGCAGGAGCCGGGAAGGGGCUCCUCUGGGAAGCUCCAUCUCUGUUCUGGAAAGCCCCUUAGAAAGUGCCCACGCUGUAGACUGUCUGUGCCUGCGCUAGGCCAGAGCAGGGGAGGAAGGUUUACCUCUUCUCCUCCUGGCCUUCCAGCCUCACCUUCUCCCUGCAUCACAGAGAGAAGCAAGCAGAAGGCCCGGAGGAGACCACGAUCCAGCUCCUCCUCCUCUUCUUCCAGUUCUUCUAGCUCCUCUUCUUCCUCCUCGUCCUCCUCCUCUUCCUCCAGUGAUGGCCGGAAGAAGCGGGGGAAGUACAAGGACAAGAAGAGGAAGAAGAAGAAGAGAAGGAAGAAGCUGAAGAAGAAGGGCAAGGAGAAGGCGGAAGCACAGCAGGUGGAGGCUCUGCCGGGCCCCUCGCUGGACCAGUGGCACCGAUCAGCUGGGGAGGAAGAGGAUGGCCCAGGUACUGUGCUGCCCAGCACCUGAGAGGGAGAAGGUCCCUUCCCAAGGCCUGGUCACCACCUCCGUCUUCCCUUCCAGUCCUGACGGAUGAGCAGAAGUCCCGAAUCCAGGCCAUGAAGCCCAUGACCAAGGAGGAGUGGGAUGCCCGGCAGAGCAUCAUCCGCAAGGUGGUGGACCCCGAGACGGGGCGCACCAGGUGGGGAGCCUUUGGCCUGACUUAGACCACAGGGUCUGGGAGUGUUGGCUGAAGAUGUGUGCUCUCGGGAGGAGUGGGGCCGGGCGGGGUUCCUGCUGCCUGAAAAAGGCCAAAUGUGGGCAAAAAUACGGUCACUUGGAGUAAAUAGUUGCAGAGGCUGGAAGGGCCUGGAGGAGGCUCUUCAAAGGACUGUUGUUGGCCGGGCUGAGGCUGGCAAGGCAGAGCCCAGCUCCGCUGCCUUUGGAAGGGCUGCCGGGGGCGGGGAGCCCUGGGACCCCUCUGCCGGCUGCUUGCGGUUCUGCUCCUCUGGCAUUAGGGGACCUGCCUAUUCCUUGCUGAAUGGAGACCCUCCCACCCCCAGGCUUAUUAAGGGAGAUGGCGAGGUCCUAGAGGAAAUCGUAACCAAAGAACGACACAGAGAGAUCAACAAGCAAGCCACCCGAGGGGACGGCCUGGCCUUCCAGAUGCGAGCUGGGUUGCUUCCCUGAGGGCCCCCGUUGGCCAAGGCCUGUGGACGGUGCUGGCGGCCCAGCCUGGGCAGGUUUCAGGGUGCCAGUGGGAAGCCUGAUGGGUGCUGGUGGCCUUUCCCCCGUGGAUUGGCCUCUGGGCCAGCCCAGCCUCUUCUCAGGGGCAGGGGGUGGAGGUUGAGGUCACCGGCCUGCUUGGCACCCCUAUCUGAAAGAGCAACACUUUUCAGCUAUUAAAGGCCCUCUGGAUA